CAAUAGCGUAUAUUAAAGUUGUUGCGGUUAAAAAGCUCGUAGUUGGAUUUCUGCUGAGAACGACCGGUCCGCCCUUUGGGUGUGUAUCUGGCUCUUUCUUGGCAUCUUCUUGGUGAACGUUGCUGCACUUGACUGUGUGGAGCGCUACCCAGGACUUUUACUUUGAGGAAAUUAGAGUGUUUCAAGCAGGCAUACGCCUUGAAUACAUUAGCAUGGAAUAAUAAGAUAGGACCUCGGUUCUAUUUUGUUGGUUUCUAGAGCUGAGGUAAUGAUUAAUAGGGAUAGUUGGGGGCAUUCGUAUUUAACUGACAGAGGUGAAAUUCUUGGAUUUGUUAAAGACGGACUACUGCGAAAGCAUUUGCCAAGGAUGUUUUCAUUG
RNAcentral lists this ribosomal RNA (379 nucleotides) under uncultured eukaryote. RNAcentral's name for it is "partial 18S ribosomal RNA". It matches the Rfam family "Eukaryotic small subunit ribosomal RNA", at positions 592 to 975 of the family's 1831-position model. The record is from RNAcentral.